AUUGAACGCUGGCGGCAUGCUUUACACAUGUAAGUCGAACGGCAGCACGGGCUUCGGCCUGGUGGCGAGUGGCGAACGGGUGAGUAAUAUAUCGGAACGUACCCAGAAGUGGGGGAUAACGUAGCGAAAGUUACGCUAAUACCGCAUACGAUCUAUGGAUGAAAGCAGGGGACCGCAAGGCCUUGUGCUCCUGGAGCGGCCGAUAUCUGAUUAGCUAGUUGGUGAGGUAAAGGCUCACCAAGGCGACGAUCAGUAGCUGGUCUGAGAGGACGACCAGCCACACUGGAACUGAGACACGGUCCAGAGUCCUACGGGAGGCAGCAGUGGGGAAUUUUGGACAAUGGGCGCAAGCCUGAUCCAGCAAUGCCGCGUGAGUGAAGAAGGCCUUCGGGUUGUAAAGCUCUUUUGUCAGGGAAGAAACGGUAGAGGCUAAUAUCCUUUGCUAAUGACGGUACCUGAAGAAUAAGCACCGGCUAACUACGUG
This 484-nucleotide ribosomal RNA is filed under the name uncultured bacterium. RNAcentral describes it as "partial 16S ribosomal RNA". It matches the Rfam family "Bacterial small subunit ribosomal RNA", at positions 30 to 507 of the family's 1533-position model. The record is from RNAcentral.